GAUGAACGCUGGCGGCGUGCCUAAUACAUGCCAGUCGAGCGAACGGACGAGAAGCUUGCUUCUCUGAUGUUAGCGGCGGACGGGUGAGUAACACGUGGAUAACCUACCUAUAAUACUUGGAUAACUUCGUGAAACCGGAGCUAAUACCGGAUAAUAUUUUGAACCGCAUUGUUCAAAAGUGAAAGACGGUCUUGCUGUCUCUUAUAGAUGGUUCCGCGCUUCAUUAGCUAGUUGGUAAGGUAACGGCUUACCAAGGCAACGAUGCAUAGCCGACCUGAGAGGGGGAUCGGCGAGACGGGAACUGAGACACGGACAAGACGCCUACGGGAGGAAGCAGUAGGGAAUAUUCCGCAAUGGGCGAAAGCAUGACGGAGAAAAGCCGCGUGAGUGAUGAAGGUCUUCGGAUCGUAAAACUCUGUUAUUAGGGAAGAACAAAUGUGUAAGUAACUGUGCACAUCUUGACGGUACCUAAUCAGAAAGCAACGGCUAACUACGUG
Molecule: ribosomal RNA, 497 nt
Filed under: uncultured bacterium
Lineage: Bacteria
Description: partial 16S ribosomal RNA
Rfam family: Bacterial small subunit ribosomal RNA
Source: RNAcentral